RNAcentral lists this unclassified non-coding RNA (231 nucleotides) under plant metagenome. RNAcentral describes it as "partial contains small subunit ribosomal RNA and internal transcribed spacer 1". The stretch from base 1 to 46 matches the Rfam family "Eukaryotic small subunit ribosomal RNA", at positions 1786 to 1831 of the family's 1831-position model. The record is from RNAcentral.
AAGUCGUAACAAGGUUUCCGUAGGUGAACCUGCGGAAGGAUCAUUACCGAGUUAGGGUUCUCUGAGCCCGAUCUCCCCACCCUUUGUUUAAACCACUUUGUUGCUUUGGCAGGCCCGUCCUCAACGGGACCGCUGGAGGCGUUCAAUCACCUCUAGUCAGUGUCUGCCAGUAGCCACUUCAAAUCCUUUUAACUAUGUCGUCUGAUAAAUUAAUUAUAAAUUUAAUUAAAA